AUUGAACGCUGGCGGCAGGCUUAACACAUGCAAGUCGAGCGGGGUGAUGGUGCUUGCACUAUCACUUAGCGGCGGACGGGUGAGUAAUGCUUAGGAAUCUGCCUAUUAGUGGGGGACAACAUCUCGAAAGGGAUGCUAAUACCGCAUACGUCCUACGGGAGAAAGCAGGGGAUCACUUGUGACCUUGCGCUAAUAGAUGAGCCUAAGUCGGAUUAGCUAGUUGGUGGGGUAAAGGCCUACCAAGGCGACGAUCUGUAGCGGGUCAGGGAGGAUGAGCCGGCCAACGGAGACUAGGACACGGCCCAGACUCCUACGGGAGGCAGCAGGGGGGAAUAUUGGACAAUGGGGGGAACCCUGAUCCAGCCAUGCGGCGUGUGUGAAGAAGGCCUUAUGGUUGUAAAGCACUUUAAGCGAGGAGGAGGCUCUUUUGGUUAAUACCCAAGAUGAGUGGACGUUACUCGCAGAAUAAGCACCGGCUAACUCUGUGCCAGCCGCCGCCGUAA
Molecule: ribosomal RNA, 503 nt
Filed under: uncultured bacterium
Lineage: Bacteria
Description: partial 16S ribosomal RNA
Rfam family: Bacterial small subunit ribosomal RNA
Source: RNAcentral